GUUCGUGGCUCAGUGGUAGAGCACUUGCCUAGCAUUCAUGAGGCACUGGGUUCAAUCCCCGACAACA
Molecule: transfer RNA, 67 nt
Filed under: Marmota monax (woodchuck)
Lineage: Eukaryota; Metazoa; Chordata; Mammalia; Rodentia; Sciuridae
Description: tRNA.Ala
Source: RNAcentral